Molecule: ribosomal RNA, 651 nt
Filed under: uncultured Rhizophagus
Lineage: Eukaryota; Fungi; Glomeromycota; Glomeromycetes; Glomerales; Glomeraceae
Description: SSU rRNA
Rfam family: Eukaryotic small subunit ribosomal RNA
Source: RNAcentral
AAGCUCGUAGUUGAAUUUCGGGGUUAGUAGGUUGGUCAUGCCUCUGGUAUGUACUGGUCUCACUGAUUCCUCCUUCCUGAUGAACCGUAAUGCCAUUAAUUUGGUGUUGCGGGGAAUUUGGACUGUUACUUUGAAAAAAUUAGAGUGUUUAAAGCAAGCUAACGCUUGAAUACAUUAGCAUGGAAUAAUGAAAUAGGACGUUCGAUCCUAUUUUGUUGGUUUCUAGGAUUGACGUAAUGAUUAAUAGGGAUAGUUGGGGGCAUUAGUAUUCAAUUGUCAGAGGUGAAAUUCUUGGAUUUAUUGAAGACUAACUACUGCGAAAGCAUUUGCCAAGGAUGUUUUCAUUAAUCAAGAACGAAAGUUAGGGGAUCGAAGACGAUCAGAUACCGUCGUAGUCUUAACCAUAAACUAUGCCGACUAGGGAUCGGAUGAUGUUAAUUUUUUAAUGACUCAUUCGGCGCCUUACGGGAAACCAAAGUGUUUGGGUUCCGGGGGGAGUAUGGUCGCAAGGCUGAAACUUAAAGGAAUUGACGGAAGGGCACCACCAGGGGUGGAGCCUGCGGCUUAAUUUGACUCAACACGGGGAAACUCACCAGGUCCAGACAUAGUAAGGAUUGACAGAUUGAGAGCUCUUUCUUGAUUCUAUGGGUG